This 26-nucleotide non-coding RNA is filed under the name Bombyx mori (domestic silkworm). Lineage: Eukaryota; Metazoa; Arthropoda; Insecta; Lepidoptera; Bombycidae. The record is from RNAcentral.
UCACUCAUGCGUUCAACAGGUGCACC